UGGGGAAUAUUGCACAAUGGGCGCAAGCCUGAUGCAGCGACGCCGCGUGAGGGAUGACGGCCUUCGGGUUGUAAACCUCUUUCACUAGGGACGAAGCGCAAGUGACGGUACCUGGAGAAGAAGCACCGGCCAACUACGUGCCAGCAGCCGCGGUAAUACGUAGGGUGCGAGCGUUGUCCGGAAUUACUGGGCGUAAAGAGCUCGUAGGUGGUUUGUCGCGUUGUUCGUGAAAACUCACAACUCAAUUGUGGGCGUGCGGGCGAUACGGGCAGACUGGAGUACUGCAGGGGAGACUGGAAUUCCUGGUGUAGCGGUGGAAUGCGCAGAUAUCAGGAGGAACACCGGUGGCGAAGGCGGGUCUCUGGGCAGUAACUGACGCUGAGGAGCGAAAGCGUGGGGAGCGAACAGGAUUAGAUACCCGCGUAGUCC
This 429-nucleotide ribosomal RNA is filed under the name uncultured bacterium. RNAcentral describes it as "bacterial SSU rRNA". It matches the Rfam family "Bacterial small subunit ribosomal RNA", at positions 355 to 796 of the family's 1533-position model. The record is from RNAcentral.